UUGUUUUUAAAUACUGGAAAUUGAAUACAUAUUGUAAACAAUAAACGGAUUCCUUGUAUCUAGAUGAAAACAAAGAUAACGUGUUGUUUACAAGUCGUAUGCACUAGAUAACCAUACUGCUCUGUUAACUUUAUUUCGAAAUACACUAGCGUGAAUUUCCUUUAUACAAACAAAGGAUAACGUCAUUUUACGAAACGGUUUCAAGGCGAUAAGAACUGGACAUAAAAGUGUUAAUACAUAAACAAAGACAUAAAAGUGUUAAUACAUAAACAAGGACAUAAAAGUGUUAAUACAUAAACAAGGACAUAAAAGUGUUAAUACAUAAACAAGGACAUAAAAGUGUUAAUACAUACACAAGAAGAACCUGUUCUUGUUCAGCUAUAUUCUUUAAUAUUAAAAAAUACAGCAGACACAAGGAUCAGACAAUGGAUGACGGAUGUGGUGGUUCGUCUGGCUGUGACAGUGGGUUUGGUGGCGCCAGCUCUUGUGAACCAGACAGUUUCUCUGGCGGCUGUUCAACCGCUUUUUCUACAGACGACACAUUUGGAAGUUCAUCGUUUGGUCAUAGCGGUCUUCCCCAUUCGACUUUUGGACAUUCAGUUGUGCCAUCACACACAGGAUUUAGUUCAGGAAACCAUGUUGUACAUAUGCAGCAUGCCCCAACAGCAAACAAGGCGUGUUCAACUUUGUGCUGUAUCAUUGUAGCUCUAGUGUUCAUUGCUGCGUUUGUGGCGAUCUUUUUCAUUUCAAUGAAUAGGUUUUGAUGGACAAAGCUUGGAUGACACAUAACUGGUUUUAUAUUCUAAUAAACUUUGACACAAAGGAACGACGAGACUAAAAUGUGUUCGUGCAAACAUCCACCUGUGUAUUACGGGCUGGGGCUCUUUAAAAAGAUGUAGGCCGUGUGCGCUACAAGGUGCAUUGUCUGGCAGUACCCGUGUGCGCUAUAAGGUGCAUUGUCUGGCAGUAGCCGUGUGCGCUACAAGGUGCAUUGUCUGGCAGUACCCGUGUGCGCUACAAGGUGCAUUGUCUGGCAGUAGCCGUGUGCGCUACAAGGUUCAUUGUCUGGCAGUAGCCGUGUGCGCUACAAGGUGCAUUGUCUGGCAGUAGCCGUGUGCGCUACAAGGUGCAUUGUUUGGCAGUAGCCGUGUGCGCUACAAGGUGCAUUGUCUGGCAGAAGCCGUGUGCGCUACAAGGUGCAUUGUCUGGCAGAAGCCGUGUGCGCUACAAGGUUCAUUGUCUGGCAGUAGCCGUGUGCGCUACAAGGUUCAUUGUCUGGCAGUAGCCGUGUGCGCUACAAGGUUCAUUGUCUGGCAGUAGCCGUGUGCGCUACAAGGUUCAUUGUCUGGCAGUAGCCGUGUGCGCUACAAGGUUCAUUGUCUGGCAGUAGCCGUGUGCCCUACAAGGUUCAUUGUCUGGCAGUAGCCGUGUGCGCUACAAGGUUCAUUGUCUGGCAGUAGCCGUGUGCGCACAAGGUUCAUUGUCUGGCAGUAGCCGUGUGCGCUACAAGGUUCAUUGUCUGGCAGUAGCCGUUUGCGCUACAAGGUUCAUUGUCUGGCAGUAGCCGUUUGCGCUACAAGGUUCACUGUCUGGCAGUAGUCGUUUGCGCUACAAGGUGCACUGUCUGGCAGUAGCCGUGUGCGCUACAAGGUGCAUUGUCUGGCAGUAGCCGUGUGCGCUACAAGGUGCAUUGUCUGGCAGAAGACGUGUGCGCUACAAGGUUCAUUGUCUGGCCGUAGCCGUGUGCGCUACAAGGUUCAUUGUCUAGGUAGCCCUGUGUGAUUGACUGGUGGAACCUAUAUUGUUUAUAUUGGUGUUAUCGAAGAACUGCAUCCACAGUAGAGUGAUCACAACGGUUUGCGUACUUUUUGUUAUACAUUUUGAACACCCUUUAACGCGCAUCUUUGUGUACUGUAUAUUUGAAUAUUUCAGUAUGUAAGUAGCAUUGUCCUUUAGUUUUUAAUUCCUUAUCUCUUUUUAAAAGUCUCAUCAACCUUAUUUUGAAGAAAUAGUCUAUAGUCUAAUGGUUAAUAAAUAUAUGUUUUGUACGUAAUUAUUUGUGUUAAGCAGAAUAAUUAAUUUGAUUGUGAUUAUUCAUCUUCGUUUGAAGACUGUGUGUCCUUAUACUUACACUUUCUCUCUACCUUCUGUGAUAUGUAUAUUUUGAUACUGAUAAUGUCUGUGUUAAAUAAAAUAAACA
RNA transcript from Mya arenaria, 2200 nucleotides. RefSeq lists it as uncharacterized. NCBI's taxonomy places the organism in Eukaryota, Metazoa, Mollusca, Bivalvia, Myida, Myidae. The record is from RefSeq and is a predicted model, not a curated record. The transcript is spliced from 4 exons.